This 64-nucleotide transfer RNA is filed under the name Berthellina sp. TLT-2006. Its description in RNAcentral is "tRNA-Trp". The record is from RNAcentral. Lineage: Eukaryota; Metazoa; Mollusca; Gastropoda; Pleurobranchida; Pleurobranchidae.
GAAGCUAUAGGUUAAGUAGAAAACUGUUGGCCUUCAAGGCCGGAGAUGAGAUAUUCUAGCUUUG